CAAUAGCGUAUAUUGAAGUUGUUGCGGUUAAAAAGCUCGUCGUUGGAUUUCUGUUGAGGUCGAACAGUGCCGCCCUAUGGGUGCGCAACUGGCUCGGCUUCGGCAUCUUCUUGGAGAGCGCAUCUGCACUUAACUGUGUGGAUCGUACUUCAAGUCAGUUACUUUGAGGAAUUGUGAGUGUUUCAAGCAGGCUUACGCCGUUGAAUCCGUUAGCAUGGAAUAAUAGGAUAGGACCUCGGUUCUAUUUUGUUGGUUUUGAGAGCUGGGGCAGCGAUUGAUAGGGACGGAUGGGGGCGUCUGAACUUUACUGUCAGAGGUGAAAUUCUUAGAUCGGUCAAAGGCGAACUACUGCGAACGCAUUCGCCAAGAAUGUUUUCUUUAA
This 382-nucleotide ribosomal RNA is filed under the name uncultured eukaryote. Its description in RNAcentral is "partial 18S ribosomal RNA". It matches the Rfam family "Eukaryotic small subunit ribosomal RNA", at positions 592 to 976 of the family's 1831-position model. The record is from RNAcentral.